Molecule: ribosomal RNA, 616 nt
Filed under: Bjerkandera adusta
Lineage: Eukaryota; Fungi; Basidiomycota; Agaricomycetes; Polyporales; Phanerochaetaceae
Description: partial large subunit ribosomal RNA
Rfam family: Eukaryotic large subunit ribosomal RNA
Source: RNAcentral
CUGCGAGUGAAGCGGGAAAAGCUCAAAUUUAAAAUCUGGCGGUCUUCGGCCGUCCGAGUUGUAAUCUGGAGAAGCGUUUUCCGCGCUGGACCGUGUACAAGUCUCUUGGAACAGAGCGUCAUAGAGGGUGAGAAUCCCGUCUUUGACACGGACUACCAGUGCUAUGUGAUGCGCUCUCGAUGAGUCGAGUUGUUUGGGAAUGCAGCUCAAAAUGGGUGGUAAAUUCCAUCUAAAGCUAAAUAUUGGCGAGAGACCGAUAGCGAACAAGUACCGUGAGGGAAAGAUGAAAAGCACUUUGGAAAGAGAGUUAAACAGUACGUGAAAUUGCUGAAAGGGAAACGAUUGAAGUCAGUCGCGUGUGCUAGAACUCAGCCUUGCUUUUGCUUGGUGCAUUUUCUAGUGUACGGGCCAGCAUCAGUUUUGGCCGCCGGAAAAAGGCCUUGGGAAUGUGGCACCUUCGGGUGUGUUAUAGCCCUUGGUUGUAUACGGUGGCUGGGACUGAGGAACAUAGCAUGCCUUUACGGCGGGGCUUCGGCCACCUUCAUGCUUUGGAUGCUGGCGUAAUGGCUUUAAACGACCCGUCUUGAAACACGGACCAAGGAGUCUAACAUGCCUG